GAUGAACGCUGGCGGCGUGCCUAAUACAUGCAAGUCGAGCGAACAGAUGAGGAGCUUGCUCCUCUGACGUUGGCGGCGGACGGGUGAGUAACACGUGGAUAACCUACCUAUAAGACUGGGAUAACUUCGGGAAACCGGAGCUAAUACCGGAUAAUAUAUUGAACCGCAUGGUUCAAUAGUGAAAGACGGUUUUGCUGUCACUUAUAGAUGGAUCCGCGCCGCAUUAGCUAGUUGGUAAGGUAACGGCUUACCAAGGCGACGAUGCGUAGCCGACCUGAGAGGGUGAUCGGCCACACUGGAACUGAGACACGGUCCAGACUCCUACGGGAGGCAGCAGUAGGGAAUCUUCCGCAAUGGGCGAAAGCCUGACGGAGCAACGCCGCGUGAGUGAUGAAGGUCUUCGGAUCGUAAAACUCUGUUAUUAGGGAAGAACAAAUGUGUAAGUAACUAUGCACGUCUUGACGGUACCUAAUCAGAAAGCCACGGCUAACUACGUG
Molecule: ribosomal RNA, 497 nt
Filed under: uncultured bacterium
Lineage: Bacteria
Description: partial 16S ribosomal RNA
Rfam family: Bacterial small subunit ribosomal RNA
Source: RNAcentral